Molecule: ribosomal RNA, 500 nt
Filed under: uncultured bacterium
Lineage: Bacteria
Description: bacterial SSU rRNA
Rfam family: Bacterial small subunit ribosomal RNA
Source: RNAcentral
CUACGUGCCAGCAGCCGCGGUAAUACGUAGGUCCCGAGCGUUGUCCGGAUUUAUUGGGCGUAAAGCGAGCGCAGGCGGUUAGAUAAGUCUGAAGUUAAAGGCUGUGGCUUAACCAUAGUACGCUUUGGAAACUGUUUAACUUGAGUGCAAGAGGGGAGAGUGGAAUUCCAUGUGUAGCGGUGAAAUGCGUAGAUAUAUGGAGGAACACCGGUGGCGAAAGCGGCUCUCUGGCUUGUAACUGACGCUGAGGCUCGAAAGCGUGGGGAGCAAACAGGAUUAGAUACCCUAGUAGUCCACGCCGUAAACGAUGAGUGCUAGGUGUUAGACCCUUUCCGGGGUUUAGUGCCGCAGCUAACGCAUUAAGCACUCCGCCUGGGGAGUACGACCGCAAGGUUGAAACUCAAAGGAAUUGACGGGGGCCCGCACAAGCGGUGGAGCAUGUGGUUUAAUUCGAUGCAACGCGAAGAACCUUACCUACUCUUGACAUCCAGAGAACAUUC